Molecule: ribosomal RNA, 1554 nt
Filed under: Escherichia sp. E4742
Lineage: Bacteria; Pseudomonadati; Pseudomonadota; Gammaproteobacteria; Enterobacterales; Enterobacteriaceae
Description: bacterial SSU rRNA
Rfam family: Bacterial small subunit ribosomal RNA
Source: RNAcentral
AAAUUGAAGAGUUUGAUCAUGGCUCAGAUUGAACGCUGGCGGCAGGCCUAACACAUGCAAGUCGAACGGUAACAGGAAGCAGCUUGCUGUUUCGCUGACGAGUGGCGGACGGGUGAGUAAUGUCUGGGAAACUGCCCGAUGGAGGGGGAUAACUACUGGAAACGGUAGCUAAUACCGCAUAAUGUCGCAAGACCAAAGAGGGGGACCUUCGGGCCUCUUGCCAUCGGAUGUGCCCAGAUGGGAUUAGCUAGUAGGUGGGGUAACGGCUCACCUAGGCGACGAUCCCUAGCUGGUCUGAGAGGAUGACCAGCCACACUGGAACUGAGACACGGUCCAGACUCCUACGGGAGGCAGCAGUGGGGAAUAUUGCACAAUGGGCGCAAGCCUGAUGCAGCCAUGCCGCGUGUAUGAAGAAGGCCUUCGGGUUGUAAAGUACUUUCAGCGGGGAGGAAGGGAGUAAAGUUAAUACCUUUGCUCAUUGACGUUACCCGCAGAAGAAGCACCGGCUAACUCCGUGCCAGCAGCCGCGGUAAUACGGAGGGUGCAAGCGUUAAUCGGAAUUACUGGGCGUAAAGCGCACGCAGGCGGUUUGUUAAGUCAGAUGUGAAAUCCCCGGGCUCAACCUGGGAACUGCAUCUGAUACUGGCAAGCUUGAGUCUCGUAGAGGGGGGUAGAAUUCCAGGUGUAGCGGUGAAAUGCGUAGAGAUCUGGAGGAAUACCGGUGGCGAAGGCGGCCCCCUGGACGAAGACUGACGCUCAGGUGCGAAAGCGUGGGGAGCAAACAGGAUUAGAUACCCUGGUAGUCCACGCCGUAAACGAUGUCGACUUGGAGGUUGUGCCCUUGAGGCGUGGCUUCCGGAGCUAACGCGUUAAGUCGACCGCCUGGGGAGUACGGCCGCAAGGUUAAAACUCAAAUGAAUUGACGGGGGCCCGCACAAGCGGUGGAGCAUGUGGUUUAAUUCGAUGCAACGCGAAGAACCUUACCUGGUCUUGACAUCCACGGAAGUUUUCAGAGAUGAGAAUGUGCCUUCGGGAACCGUGAGACAGGUGCUGCAUGGCUGUCGUCAGCUCGUGUUGUGAAAUGUUGGGUUAAGUCCCGCAACGAGCGCAACCCUUAUCCUUUGUUGCCAGCGGUCCGGCCGGGAACUCAAAGGAGACUGCCAGUGAUAAACUGGAGGAAGGUGGGGAUGACGUCAAGUCAUCAUGGCCCUUACGACCAGGGCUACACACGUGCUACAAUGGCGCAUACAAAGAGAAGCGACCUCGCGAGAGCAAGCGGACCUCAUAAAGUGCGUCGUAGUCCGGAUUGGAGUCUGCAACUCGACUCCAUGAAGUCGGAAUCGCUAGUAAUCGUGGAUCAGAAUGCCACGGUGAAUACGUUCCCGGGCCUUGUACACACCGCCCGUCACACCAUGGGAGUGGGUUGCAAAAGAAGUAGGUAGCUUAACCUUCGGGAGGGCGCUUACCACUUUGUGAUUCAUGACUGGGGUGAAGUCGUAACAAGGUAACCGUAGGGGAACCUGCGGUUGGAUCACCUCCUUACCUUAAAGAAGC